Molecule: unclassified non-coding RNA, 351 nt
Filed under: uncultured fungus
Lineage: Eukaryota; Fungi
Description: sequence contains ITS1
Source: RNAcentral
CGUUAAAACCUCUUUCCGGAUGGAUAAUUCCCAUUCUUUCAAAAAGCUUCAUUGAUGUUUAUGUAGAUACCAUCUGUGUUAUAACCUCUGGCAUAAUCUAAACGAAUGCGGAGUCUUUCAUCCGGGUCCAGGUCAAAUCUGAAACCAAAUCCGUAGCUUCCAAGAAACCUUUCGUAUUGCAUGAACUCAUUGGUUACGGAACCGACGCCACCAAAAACACUGAAAACAACCCUGCUAAACAGCCAAUAAUCCAGGGGGUAUCCUCUUAUCUCUCCCUGCAGAACCGUCUGGUGAUUGUCCCGGUAGGCCCCUUUAUAGUAACCUCUCAUAAGUUUGGAGCCCCCCAUCAGU